CUCCGCUCCGCUCCAGAAAGAUGUCUGUGGGCAAGCUCCAGCAUAGAAGGGACUGGCUCUCCUUUUUGCAAGGAUCUUCCAGAGUGGACACCUGGCUGCAGCCUUCCAGAUGCAAAUCCAAAGGGAGCAUGUCUCUACUUCCAACCAAGCCUCACAGGAAUGUGUUUUAGUUUAAGCACUUUGAUGCUCUCAGGCUUUGCAAAGCCUUUCUCCAUAACAUCACUUAACAGACAAGCCUCUCUGGUCACCCCCCCUCCAUGUGCAGCCUUGCACAUCUCCUUAGUACAAGAAUGAAGUCAAAGGACUGCCAAAGCAGAGGAAAACAAGGCCAAGCACACACAGAUGGCAAGCCCACAAAUCGAAUUUAAAAUCAUCCUUUAUUAUUCAGAAUAUUAAAAUUCAGGCAAUAAUGCCCAAAGGAACUGUGCUGAUUAAAGCUCCCUAAUGUUUCAUGGCCAAAUCUUGCUGCUUCCUCCAAGGGUCACUGGGACAAGAAGUGAAACCCCUCUAGAAUGCAGAGAGAGGUAGGGCUGUACCUGCUGUAGAUCACUUAACCAAACAGUUACUUACUGACCCAAUCAGCUUCACUUAAAGCAAAGCACCAGCUGUUCCUUACCCAAUUAAUGACUGCCACAGCAAAUUAACAUGGUGUUACACCAGGCGUGGAUGUGGUCCGUAGAGUCCAGAAUGCACAGAGCAAUAUGCUGUUGCAAAAAUAAUCACAGUAAUAUCUUUACUGUUAGGUAGCAUCCUUCAUCUGGAGAGAUGGUGAGCUCCCAGUGUGCUACAUGACUUGCUUCAUGCAACAUGCUCUGCAGUGAGGGUAGAGAGGGCAGGAAGAGUUGGAGGCGUAUGAUUGCUAUUUCAAGGGGACAGUAGAGAGGAACUGGUCAGGGCAGCUCUGCUGUGGCAUAGACAGCACUGACCACACAUGUCUGACUUCUGGUUCCUGCAAUCCAAACACAUCAUUAUUUAUAGUAUAUUUAUAGUAAAUCUGCUCAAAGUGUGCCUUCUCCCUGUCCCAUACACCACAGAGCUUUCCAAUGCCUGUCUUCUUGCUGUGUGAUGUGUGAUUCCUACAGAUGCAGGAAUCCAGGUGAGGUUCAUGUGGAAAACUGUUACCUCAGUGCUGCCAGAGCAAGCACUACUCUCCAGGUCCUUUCCUUGGUCUCUUCAUUCUGUGGUGGAGACUUUUGCCCUAGCUCUCUGCAAUUGUCAUUCAUUGUAGGGUCUCAGUGGCAGUACAGCAGAAUAACGAAGCCAUUCUCUUCUUUUUCCAAGGUUAAGUCCAGCACCUAAACACCCAUUUGACUCCAUUUAGUUCAUGCUUUUUAUGACCUACAGACAUUAAUCCCCUAUAAGUUACAGCCCAAACAGAUCAAUCAGCCUAGAGGGCUCUGGGAAAGUGGUGUCUCGUGCUAGAGCAUUACAGUCUUUUCCUACAAUUAGACCAGCAUCAGAUAUUAUUGACAAAUAAACUGUGCAAUCAAA
Pogoniulus pusillus (Red-fronted tinkerbird) is the source of this 1491-nucleotide long non-coding RNA. RefSeq lists it as uncharacterized. The record is from RefSeq and is a predicted model, not a curated record. NCBI's taxonomy places the organism in Eukaryota, Metazoa, Chordata, Aves, Piciformes, Lybiidae. The transcript has 4 exons.